AUGGGAUGUAUCAGUGCACUGCCAGGAGCAAUCAUUCUUUCAUGCCUUUCUCCGAAGAGACAUUGUUCCUCAUAAUGAAAGGGAAAAAUGGGAACUGAAGACUAAUAAGCCUUUAUGAAAAGAUAUUUUUUUUAAAGCUUCUAAGACAGGUCCAUAUUCUCAAUAACAAUACCUGGUUUUGAUGAGAAGUGUACUCUUAAAACAGGAGGAAGACUUGAUCCAAAGUUGUCUGCAGUAUCUUCUAGAAGGUUGGAGCUGUGUAUGUGAACCAGCUCAAGGAACUGCACCUUAGUUUCUCCUCUCCUGGUAAUGCAAGGAAAUAAAUUUCUUCCCUGUCACCCAUCCUGUUGGCUGGUACAAAAGGACACAUG
This is a long non-coding RNA of Grus americana (Whooping crane), 371 nucleotides long. RefSeq lists it as uncharacterized. NCBI's taxonomy places the organism in Eukaryota, Metazoa, Chordata, Aves, Gruiformes, Gruidae. The transcript is spliced from 4 exons. The record is from RefSeq and is a predicted model, not a curated record.